Molecule: ribosomal RNA, 1482 nt
Filed under: Bacillus subtilis
Lineage: Bacteria; Bacillati; Bacillota; Bacilli; Caryophanales; Bacillaceae
Description: bacterial SSU rRNA
Rfam family: Bacterial small subunit ribosomal RNA
Source: RNAcentral
GCUCAGGACGAACGCUGGCGGCGUGCCUAAUACAUGCAAGUCGAGCGGACAGAUGGGAGCUUGCUCCCUGAUGUUAGCGGCGGACGGGUGAGUAACACGUGGGUAACCUGCCUGUAAGACUGGGAUAACUCCGGGAAACCGGGGCUAAUACCGGAUGGUUGUUUGAACCGCAUGGUUCAAACAUAAAAGGUGGCUUCGGCUACCACUUACAGAUGGACCCGCGGCGCAUUAGCUAGUUGGUGAGGUAACGGCUCACCAAGGCGACGAUGCGUAGCCGACCUGAGAGGGUGAUCGGCCACACUGGGACUGAGACACGGCCCAGACUCCUACGGGAGGCAGCAGUAGGGAAUCUUCCGCAAUGGACGAAAGUCUGACGGAGCAACGCCGCGUGAGUGAUGAAGGUUUUCGGAUCGUAAAGCUCUGUUGUUAGGGAAGAACAAGUACCGUUCGAAUAGGGCGGUACCUUGACGGUACCUAACCAGAAAGCCACGGCUAACUACGUGCCAGCAGCCGCGGUAAUACGUAGGUGGCAAGCGUUGUCCGGAAUUAUUGGGCGUAAAGGGCUCGCAGGCGGUUUCUUAAGUCUGAUGUGAAAGCCCCCGGCUCAACCGGGGAGGGUCAUUGGAAACUGGGGAACUUGAGUGCAGAAGAGGAGAGUGGAAUUCCACGUGUAGCGGUGAAAUGCGUAGAGAUGUGGAGGAACACCAGUGGCGAAGGCGACUCUCUGGUCUGUAACUGACGCUGAGGAGCGAAAGCGUGGGGAGCGAACAGGAUUAGAUACCCUGGUAGUCCACGCCGUAAACGAUGAGUGCUAAGUGUUAGGGGGUUUCCGCCCCUUAGUGCUGCAGCUAACGCAUUAAGCACUCCGCCUGGGGAGUACGGUCGCAAGACUGAAACUCAAAGGAAUUGACGGGGGCCCGCACAAGCGGUGGAGCAUGUGGUUUAAUUCGAAGCAACGCGAAGAACCUUACCAGGUCUUGACAUCCUCUGACAAUCCUAGAGAUAGGACGUCCCCUUCGGGGGCAGAGUGACAGGUGGUGCAUGGUUGUCGUCAGCUCGUGUCGUGAGAUGUUGGGUUAAGUCCCGCAACGAGCGCAACCCUUGAUCUUAGUUGCCAGCAUUCAGUUGGGCACUCUAAGGUGACUGCCGGUGACAAACCGGAGGAAGGUGGGGAUGACGUCAAAUCAUCAUGCCCCUUAUGACCUGGGCUACACACGUGCUACAAUGGACAGAACAAAGGGCAGCGAAACCGCGAGGUUAAGCCAAUCCCACAAAUCUGUUCUCAGUUCGGAUCGCAGUCUGCAACUCGACUGCGUGAAGCUGGAAUCGCUAGUAAUCGCGGAUCAGCAUGCCGCGGUGGAAUACGGUUCCCGGGGCCUUGUACACACCGGCCCGUCACACCACGAGAGUUUGUAACACCCGAAGUCGGUGAGGUAACCUUUUAGGAGCCAGCCGCCGAAGGUGGGACAGAUGAUUGGGGUG